This 111-nucleotide small RNA is filed under the name Rheinheimera nanhaiensis E407-8. RNAcentral describes it as "Rheinheimera sp. E407-8 t44 RNA". It matches the Rfam family "t44 RNA". Rfam says of the family: This family consists of a number of bacterial RNA genes of between 135 and 170 bases in length. The t44 gene is found between the map and rpsB genes in all species in the full alignment apart from Shigella flexneri. The function of this RNA is unknown. The record is from Rfam by way of RNAcentral. Lineage: Bacteria; Pseudomonadati; Pseudomonadota; Gammaproteobacteria; Chromatiales; Chromatiaceae.
UGGCGUAAUUAAACAAAACACACAUGUAUCGACACAUAUUCCGGGGUGCUUUGCCCUGCACUGAACCACAGUCAGGCCAGAGUCGGCGUAUGGGAUACAUGGAGGCUUAAC